This 494-nucleotide ribosomal RNA is filed under the name uncultured bacterium. RNAcentral's name for it is "bacterial SSU rRNA". It matches the Rfam family "Bacterial small subunit ribosomal RNA", at positions 28 to 511 of the family's 1533-position model. The record is from RNAcentral.
GAUGAACGCUGGCGGCGUGCUUAACACAUGCAAGUCGAACGGAGUUUUAGUAAUUGAUUGAUUUAGCUUGCUAUUGAGAGAUUUUACUAAAACUUAGUGGCGGACGGGUGAGUAACGCGUGGGUAACCUGCCCUAUACAGGGGGACAACAGUUGGAAACGACUGCUAAUACCGCAUAAGCGCACAGCAUCGCAUGAUGCAGUGUGAAAAACUGAGGUGGUAUAGGAUGGACCCGCGUCUGAUUAGCUAGUUGGUGAGGUAACGGCCCACCAAGGCGACGAUCAGUAGCCGGCCUGAGGGGGUGAACGGCCACAUUGGGACUGAGACACGGCCCAAACUCCUACGGGAGGCAGCAGUGGGGAAUAUUGCACAAUGGGGGAAACCCUGAUGCAGCGACGCCGCGUGAGUGAAGAAGUAUUUCGGUAUGUAAAGCUCUAUCAGCAGGGAAGAAAAUGACGGUACCUGACUAAGAAGCUCCGGCUAAAUACGUGCCAG